UGUUCUUUGGGUUCUGUGUCCCCAAUAUGUCAUAUGAGUGUAGCACUGUUGUAAAAGGUCAUUUUUCACAAAUCUCAUGUAUUUUUUUUUCAUGUAUUUUUAAAAUUGUUUUGAAGAAAUAAAGUCUCACUUCAAAGAUAUUAAAUUUUCCUAGGCAAAAGGUGUAUCAGAUAUGUGAGAUACAUGUUAAAACAAUGGAGGAAAUGUAUUCAGCCAUUGUUAUAGGGUUUCUUUGAACUAGGAUUAUGUUAGUAAGUAGAAAAGUGGAAAUCAUUAAUAAAUAAACCAUAUUAAAGAGCCCA
Molecule: long non-coding RNA, 302 nt
Filed under: Bos taurus (domestic cattle)
Lineage: Eukaryota; Metazoa; Chordata; Mammalia; Artiodactyla; Bovidae
Description: long non-coding RNA NONBTAT017077
Source: RNAcentral